CAUAAGUCCGUACUACAAAAGAAUGCACAAAAACCUUUUUAAAUUUCAAUUUUACGCUUAAAAGCAACACAAAUCUAAAACAAAUGUUGAAAUUAAAUCUUAGUAUCUAAAAUGAGUGAAAUUUCCUAGCAUGUACUUGGUGCAAAGUACAAAACCACGUUAUUUUUACGGUUGGCAAUAACCUCAAAAAUCAAAAAAUUGCUUGUCACUUUCUCUUCUAAAAAACAUCAAAUAAAUUGCAUCAAACCAGCAAAAUUGCAAUCAAAUCCUCAAAUUACUAUAUCUAAAGACUAUUUAAUGAAUAGAGAGCAACCAAGACUAAACAAAAGGGUGAUUAACACAGUAAAUAUUUCACAACUUUCCUGGUACAUGAAAUUUCACAAGAUUCCUUUAGCAAGUUUAUACCCAGGGCGCCAGUGAAACGUGCUAUUUUAUAGGGGUUAAAUAAUAUUGCAAAGCUCCGGCUUGUUCAAAGAAAGCUAUAGCACGUUAGCACAAAAAAAAUGAAAUUAAAUCUUAAUAAAAAAUGUGGUGUCUAAAUUGCUUGCUAUAGGAACCUAUUUUGGGAGAUGAAAAAGCUGGCGCUGAUGCCCUACUAAAUUAAAUCAUGGAAAGGACCGACCUCAGAAUUUAAACGUUCCUCAGAUGCAGCGGGGUGACAGGCUGCUUUCCCCGGUGAAGCUAGAUGCUGAGCGGAGACGUAGAGCUCAGGGGCCGCGCACGUGGUACCAAAAUGACGUGGCAGAGGUAGAUGGCGUGUUUAAAUUCUUCGCUCCAGGAGGUCUCCAAAACUAAAUUGACUUCUAGGAUUUUUGAAGCUUUUGAGAUAAAUUACUCAACGAAUGAAAUAAAUGAAUGAAUAAAUCAGUAAAUCCCGGCUCCUGAAAACCGAGAAAAGGUUAUAUUAGCCUACGCCCUUUAUGGCCGCUAGAAAAGAGAUGAAACCAUUGGAAAUUUGGCUCACCGCACUGGUAGCUGCUAAGCCUUCUGGCGGAGCGCUCCCUUCCCUCGAGCAGGAGUCUCUCUGCAAAGAACCAAAAUUUGGUUAAGAACAAACCCACAACGUUUCGCGCCAUUGUGGAGUCGAUCACCACGAAAUUUAAUUUCUACUCACUCAGUGGAGCUUCCGAAGGACUCAAGCCGUUUCCAUCUUUCAGACCACCAUGCCGAAAGUGUGGCCUUCCCACAAAUUGGGCUCUUGCGAGCGAGUGUCCCCAGAGGGGUUCCCAAAUCAAAUGUGCAUAUCAUUCUCGAAUGAUCUCCAAUAUGGAGUCCCUGAGAGCCCUAACAAAAGGUAAUAGGGUGGCAGUCCCUUGAAGACACAAAUCCCACGAAAAUUCUGUCUGAAUUAUUUAGACAAUAUCACUCCUGAGCCUAAGAAAUAUAUUUUUACCAUUUAA
Cydia fagiglandana is the source of this 1400-nucleotide long non-coding RNA. RefSeq lists it as uncharacterized. The record is from RefSeq and is a predicted model, not a curated record. Lineage: Eukaryota; Metazoa; Arthropoda; Insecta; Lepidoptera; Tortricidae. The transcript is spliced from 2 exons.